AUGCAAGUCGAGCGCGAUCUUCGGGUUGAGCGGCGGACGGGUUAGUAACGCGUGGGAAUAUGCCCAAAGGUACGGAAUAGCCUCUGGAAACGGAGAGUAAUACCGUAUGUGCCCUUCGGGGGAAAGAUUUAUCGCCUUUGGAUUAGCCCGCGUUAGAUUAGGUAGUUGGUGGGGUAAUGGCCUACCAAGCCUACGAUCUAUAGCUGGUUUUAGAGGAUGAUCAGCAACACUGGGACUGAGACACGGCCCAGACUCCUACGGGAGGCAGCAGUGGGGAAUCUUGGACAAUGGGCGCAAGCCUGAUCCAGCCAUGCCGCGUGAGUGAUGAAGGCCUUAGGGUCGUAAAGCUCUUUCGCCAGGGAUGGUAAUGACAGUACCUGGUAAAGAAACCCCGGCUAACUCCGUGCCAGCAGCCGCGGUAAUACGGAGGGGGUUAGCGUUGUUCGGAAUUACUGGGCGUAAAGCGCGCGUAGGCGGAUCGGAAAGUUGGGGGUGA
RNAcentral lists this ribosomal RNA (496 nucleotides) under uncultured bacterium. RNAcentral's name for it is "bacterial SSU rRNA". It matches the Rfam family "Bacterial small subunit ribosomal RNA", at positions 55 to 597 of the family's 1533-position model. The record is from RNAcentral.